UACGGGGGGGGCAAGCGUUGUUCGGAAUUACUGGGCGUAAAGGGCUCGUAGGCGGCCAACUAAGUCGGACGUGAAAUCCCUCGGCUUAACCGGGGAACUGCGUCCGAUACUGGAUGGCUUGAGAUUGGGAGAGGGAUGCGGAAUUCCAGGUGUAGCGGUGAAAUGCGUAGAUAUCUGGAGGAACACCGGUGGCGAAGGCGGCAUCCUGGACCAACACUGACGCUGAGGAGCGAAAGCCAGGGGAGCAAACGGG
RNAcentral lists this ribosomal RNA (253 nucleotides) under uncultured bacterium. RNAcentral describes it as "partial 16S ribosomal RNA". It matches the Rfam family "Bacterial small subunit ribosomal RNA", at positions 524 to 776 of the family's 1533-position model. The record is from RNAcentral.